RNAcentral lists this transfer RNA (87 nucleotides) under Thorius munificus. Its description in RNAcentral is "tRNA-Leu". The stretch from base 13 to 87 matches the Rfam family "tRNA". Rfam says of the family: Transfer RNA (tRNA) molecules are approximately 80 nucleotides in length. Their secondary structure includes four short double-helical elements and three loops (D, anti-codon, and T loops). The record is from RNAcentral. Lineage: Eukaryota; Metazoa; Chordata; Amphibia; Caudata; Plethodontidae.
CUAAUACGACUUAUUAAGGUGGCAGAGUCCGGUAAUUGCAGAAGGCCUAAGACCUUUAUCCCGGGGGCUCAAAUCCCCCCCUUAGUU